GGGCGUUCCCGACUGCCUUAGGAUUGAGACAGACUCCUGUUAAUCUGAUAAAGGCUAUUCAAUUUGUCAUCUCAUCUGCUAUUGUCUGGAUACUUGGUGAGUCGAGAAAAUUAGUACAAAAAUGUCGGGAUUUUAGAAGACUUGCUAUACAAGAAUCGACUAAUGCCAAACACAGUGGAGGCUGACUUCCGUAAUUAUCUGCUGGUGCAAUUAGUUUCAACAAGGAUAACGCUGGAUCCGAGAUGCGUUACGCCAGUACGGGACUUUUACAAAUGGUUGUUGGUUCUUUCAUUACUGAAUGCAUAUAAGAAUCUACUGCAAGCUGCUCUGAAGGAGGAACCUGACUUGAGAAGUUACUUCAGGAAUCUGUUAUUCCUGUAAACCCAAGCUUGUUUGCUCUUCCCGAACAGAUCAGGAAGUUUCUUCAGAAAAUACAGCCCGGAAGAGCCCAAGGAAUUGAAUUUAACAUGGUAAUAUUUUUUGACUUAAAUUAUAAUUAAAAAUAUCUUUGAAUAUUUUCUGGAUUAUUUAAGAAAUCUUCAUAGUAUAUUAUCCAAAAUAGGAUGUUUCUAAAGAUAUAAAAUUUGUGUAA
Long non-coding RNA from Argiope bruennichi, 592 nucleotides. RefSeq lists it as uncharacterized. Lineage: Eukaryota; Metazoa; Arthropoda; Arachnida; Araneae; Araneidae. The record is from RefSeq and is a predicted model, not a curated record. The transcript is spliced from 3 exons.